AUUGAACGCUGGCGGCAGGCCUAACACAUGCAAGUCGAGCGGCAGCGACUUAACUGAACCUUUGGGGAACGUUAAGGGCGGCGAGCGGCGGACGGGUGAGUAAUGCCUGGGAAUAUGCCCUGAUGUGGGGGAUAACUAUUGGAAACGAUAGCUAAUACCGCAUAAUCUCUUCGGAGCAAAGAGGGGGACCUUCGGGCCUCUCGCGUCAGGAUUAGCCCAGGUGGGAUUAGCUUGUUGGUGAGGUAAUGGCUCACCAAGGCUACGAUCCCUAGCUGGUCUGAGAGGAUGAUCAGCCACACUGGAACUGAGACACGGUCCAGACUCCUACGGGAGGCAGCAGUGGGGAAUAUUGCACAAUGGGGGAAACCCUGAUGCAGCCAUGCCGCGUGUGUGAAGAAGGCCUUCGGGUUGUAAAGCACUUUCAGUAGGGAGGAAGGUAGUGCAGUUAACACCUGCAUUAUUUGACGUUACCUACAGAAGAAGCACCGGCUAACUCCGUGCCAGCAGCCGCGGUAAUACGGAGGGUGCGAGCGUUAAUCGGAAUUACUGGGCGUAAAGCGCAUGCAGGCGGCCUGUUAAGUCAGAUGUGAAAGCCCGGGGCUUAACCUCGGAAUUGCAUUUGAAACUGGCAGGCUAGAGUCUUGUAGAGGGGGGUAGAAUUUCAGGUGUAGCGGUGAAAUGCGUAGAGAUCUGAAGGAAUACCAGUGGCGAAGCCCCCUGGACAAAGACUGACGCUCAGAUGCGAAAGCGUGGGGAGCAAACAGG
This 765-nucleotide ribosomal RNA is filed under the name uncultured bacterium. RNAcentral's name for it is "bacterial SSU rRNA". It matches the Rfam family "Bacterial small subunit ribosomal RNA", at positions 28 to 776 of the family's 1533-position model. The record is from RNAcentral.